GCCCUGGUAGUGUAGUGGUCCAGCAUCCGGGCCUGUCGAGUCCGUGACCCGGGUUCAAAUCCCGGCCAGGGCG
Molecule: transfer RNA, 73 nt
Filed under: Microcaldota archaeon
Lineage: Archaea; Nanobdellati; Microcaldota
Description: tRNA-Asp
Rfam family: tRNA
About the family: Transfer RNA (tRNA) molecules are approximately 80 nucleotides in length. Their secondary structure includes four short double-helical elements and three loops (D, anti-codon, and T loops).
Source: RNAcentral